AAUGAACGUUGGCGGCGUGGAUUAGGCAUGCAAGUCGUACGCAUAGCUUCGGCUAUGAGUGGCGCAAGGGUGAGUAAUGCGAAGGUAACCAACCCUGGUGUUGGGCAUAGCCGCGGGAAACUGCGGGUAAUUCCCAGCGACGUCGCGAGAUGGCAUCAUCUUGCGACCAAAGGUGUAAUUCCGCUCUAGGACGGGCCUUCGUGGUAUUAGGUAGUUGGUGAGGUAACGGCUCACCAAGCCGACGAUGCCUACCGGGUGUGAGAGCAUGACCCGGCACACUGGAACUGAGACACUGUCCAGACACCUACGGGUGGCUGCAGUCGAGAAUCUUCGGCAAUGGGCGAAAGCCUGACCGAGCGACGCCGCGUGAGGGAAGAAGGCCUUCGGGUUGUAAACCUCUUUCGUAGAGGAGGAAGGGGCCGUGCAGAGCAGUCUUUGACCUAUUCUAGGAAGAAGCUUGGGCUAAGUUCGUGCCAGCAGCCGCGGUAAGACGAACCAAGCGAACGUUAUUCGGAAUUACUGGGCUUAAAGCGCGUGUAGGCGGAUGACCACGUCAGUCGUUGAAAUCCCCCGGCUCAACCGGGGAACAGGCGCUGAUACGAGUUGUCUGGAGGUGGGUAGGGGAGACUGGAACUUCCGGUGGAGCGGUGAAAUGCGUUGAGAUCGGAAGGAACGCCCGCGGCGAAAGCGAGUCUCUGGACCCAUUCUGACGCUGAGACGCGAAAGCCAGGGGAGCAAACGGGAUUAGAUACCCCGGUAGUCCUGGCUGUAAACAUUGGGCACUGGGUAGUGGAACCGCCGAUGGUUUCACUGCCGCAGGGAAACCGUGAAGUGCCCCGCCUGGGGAGUAUGGUCGCAAGGCUGAAACUCAAAGGAAUUGANGGGGCUCACAC
RNAcentral lists this ribosomal RNA (893 nucleotides) under uncultured bacterium. Its description in RNAcentral is "bacterial SSU rRNA". It matches the Rfam family "Bacterial small subunit ribosomal RNA", at positions 28 to 926 of the family's 1533-position model. The record is from RNAcentral.